This is a long non-coding RNA of Dreissena polymorpha, 1043 nucleotides long. RefSeq lists it as uncharacterized. The record is from RefSeq and is a predicted model, not a curated record. Lineage: Eukaryota; Metazoa; Mollusca; Bivalvia; Myida; Dreissenidae. The transcript has 3 exons.
AACUUAAGAAUAAUUUAACCCAUUUAUGCCUAGUUAACUCUCCCAUCCUUCUAAAUUGGAUUAAUUUAUUUCCAUAUUUAGGGAUGUCUAGUAUAUUUAUGUCUAUAUUAAGAAUAUUUCUUACAGAAAUUCCUAUAAGCAAACAGCGCAGACCCUGAUGAGAUGCGGCGUCUCAUCUGUGUCUACGCUGUUUGCCAAGGCCUUUUUUCUUAGACGCUAGGCAUAAAUGGGUUAAUGUGAAUUGUUAAGUGUUUUAUGCACUGCACUUCCCAAUUAUAAAAUCAAUCCAAGCCCGUGUACCCAGCUUACCUGCCCCUUCCAUUAUUUUACAGAGGGCCCUGAAGGGCGUGGUGGAGCGCUCAGGCUUCACGAGGAUGUAGUAGUCUCCUAGGUAACGCAUGCCGCCGCUCUGGUACACCUCGUCGCAGUCUACAGAAAAAGCUGUAGCAUGCCAACUCCGUGUACAUGUUACGGUAUCUUCUCUUACGACAAAGACAUGUUACGGUGUCUUCUUUACAGCGUUACAGCGCCUGCAGGAAGUCAAAUUUAAAACCAUGGAGAUUUCGUUCUACGAUAGUAGCAUUUUGGAUCACUUGUUAACUUUGGAAAAACGUGCUUAACCUUCCCUGGAUGGAAUUCGAACACGGGCCCGCCAGGUCGCAAGUCAGACAGUGAAUACCCGCCUCACCACCAUAACGUUGACUCCUUCACUGCAUUCUAUUGAAAGUACAUCACCCAAACAACAAUGGCUCAAGUUGAGCAUGCAGGGCGCCACGUUAGAACAAUACAAAAACGAUUCGAUACGUUCAAUCAGUCACGCCCUUCCACGGAUAGUGCUUCCGGACAGGUAGAUCUGUGAAUGCCAUCAGAGCACUGGGAUCUUCAAAGGAGCGAUCACACGGCGUACUCGUUUUGCACUUUUAAUGAUUGAGAGUUAACAUACGCCCAGACAUUGGACUGGUUCCGAUAAUGAUUAUCUCUCUCAUAUCUCUCUGCCGUUAUUAUACAUCACGUGAUGAUUGUCGAAUAAAAUAUUGUUGUUA